GAAAUGCGAUAAGUAAUGUGAAUUGCAGAAUUCAGUGAAUCAUCGAAUCUUUGAACGCACAUUGCGCCCGCCAGUAUUCUGGCGGGCAUGCCUGUCCGAGCGUCAUUUCAACCAUCUAGCCCCCGGGCUUGUGUUGGGGACCUGCGGCUGCCCGCAGGCCCUGAAAACCAGUGGCGGGCUCGCUGUCACACCGAGCGUAGUAGCAAUCACCUCGCUCAGGGCGUGCUGCGGGUUCCGGCCGUUAAACAGCCUUACAAAACCCAAGGUUGACCUCGGAUCAGGUAGGAAGACCCGCUGAACUUAAGC
RNAcentral lists this unclassified non-coding RNA (306 nucleotides) under plant metagenome. RNAcentral describes it as "partial contains 5.8S ribosomal RNA, internal transcribed spacer 2, and large subunit ribosomal RNA". The stretch from base 1 to 105 matches the Rfam family "5.8S ribosomal RNA", at positions 50 to 154 of the family's 154-position model. The record is from RNAcentral.